UACGAAGGGGGCUAGCGUUGCUCGGAAUCACUGGGCGUAAAGCGCCCGGAGGCGGACUCUUAAGUCGAGGGUGAAAUCCUGGAGCUCAACUCCAGAACUGCCUUCGAUACUGAGAGUCUUCGAGUUCGGGAGAGGUGAGUGGAACUGCGAGUGUAGAGGUGAAAUUCGUAGAUAUUCGCAAGAACACCCGUGGCGAAGGCGGCUCACUGGCCCGAUACUGACGCUGAGGUGCGAAAGCGUGGGGAGCAAACAGG
RNAcentral lists this ribosomal RNA (254 nucleotides) under uncultured bacterium. RNAcentral's name for it is "partial 16S ribosomal RNA". It matches the Rfam family "Bacterial small subunit ribosomal RNA", at positions 524 to 776 of the family's 1533-position model. The record is from RNAcentral.